UCCUACGGGGGGCAGCAGUAGGGAAUCUUCCACAAUGGGCGAAAGCCUGAUGGAGCAACGCCGCGUGGGUGAAGAAGGUCUUCGGAUCGUAAAACCCUGUUGUUAGAGAAGAAAGUGCGUGAGAGUAACUGUUCACGUUUCGACGGUAUCUAACCAGAAAGCCACGGCUAACUACGUGCCAACAGCCGCGGUAAUACGUAGGAGGCAAGCGUUAUCCGGCUUUAUUGGGCGUAAAGGGAACGCAGGCGGUCUUUUAAGGCUGAUGUGAAAGCCUUCGGCUUAACCGGAGUAGUGCAUUGGAAACU
Molecule: ribosomal RNA, 305 nt
Filed under: uncultured bacterium
Lineage: Bacteria
Description: bacterial SSU rRNA
Rfam family: Bacterial small subunit ribosomal RNA
Source: RNAcentral